UACAACAUCCCUAUAUGAUCAAGGAAUACUUACCCUUAAAUAUGAGUGAAUUCUGGGCUCUAAUGGUGUUAUAGUCAAUCAACCAAGAUUCUAGGGAUCGUAUAAAAAUAUAAAGGAUUUUAUCAAGACAUUAAUGGAAACUUACCUCAAAUUCGAUGAACAAACGCAUAAUUAACUAUACCAAAGCUGUAUAAUCACCCACUGUUGAUUCUCCCAAGAAUACCAACUUUUUAGGGCUCAAUAUUCUAU
RNAcentral lists this long non-coding RNA (249 nucleotides) under Capsicum annuum. RNAcentral describes it as "long non-coding RNA (CANN_LNC011596)". Lineage: Eukaryota; Viridiplantae; Streptophyta; Magnoliopsida; Solanales; Solanaceae. The record is from RNAcentral.